This is a long non-coding RNA of Selaginella moellendorffii, 646 nucleotides long. RefSeq lists it as uncharacterized. The record is from RefSeq and is a predicted model, not a curated record. NCBI's taxonomy places the organism in Eukaryota, Viridiplantae, Streptophyta, Lycopodiopsida, Selaginellales, Selaginellaceae. The transcript has 4 exons.
AAUCGAGACGUGAGACGGCGAUGGUGGAGGUGGUGGUGGUGGCAUUGCGACCUGCUGUUGCUGCUGCGAGCUGCUCAUCGGCCGGAGAGUUAAUCUCAAAUCCAGUUUGUCCCAGACCAAGCUCCAAAUCCACGACAACACCGCUACUGCUGCUGCUGCUGGUGCCGCUCGACACCUGAAUUCUUUCGCUGGACAGUGAUUGUAGGGGAAGUCUGUGCGGUACAACGGCGUAGCUCUUGUCUCCGGAGGCGCGAUUCCGGAAGUAGACAACGCCAGACUGCAAACCAAAACUUCAGGGAUUGAGAGAAUCAGCGAACAAAUCUUCUCACCUUCAAGUCAAGACAUUUCUCCCACCCGGACGGAAGUGGCUGCUUGGAAUCCACGAUCUCCAGCAGCGAGUCGACCGACAAGGAGCUGUGAUAGCUCGCCGCGGAGGAUUGCGGAGGAGGACAACACUUCAUGGUGGCUGGACUUUGAGUGGGACUGAGGAAAAAGAGCUACUAAAGCUACAUCCAACAAGCGAGACGAAAAAUAAGAAAGGUGGUUUCCUUUCUUUCUUUCUUUCAGCAACAAACGAGAGAGGCCCGAGCUACCGCCACCAUCACCAUCCACUUUGGAGGAAUCAACAACCAAAAUCCCUAUCAAA